UGGGGAAUAUUGCGCAAUGGGGGGAACCCUGACGCAGCCAUGCCGCGUGAAUGAAGAAGGCCUUCGGGUUGUAAAGUUCUUUCGGUAUUGAGGAAGGUUGAUGUGUUAAUAGCACAUCAAAUUGACGUUAAAUACAGAAGAAGCACCGGCUAACUCCGUGCCAGCAGCCGCGGUAAUACGGAGGGUGCGAGCGUUAAUCGGAAUAACUGGGCGUAAAGGGCACGCAGGCGGUUAUUUAAGUGAGGUGUGAAAGCCCCGGGCUUAACCUGGGAAUUGCAUUUCAGACUGGGUAACUAGAGUACUUUAGGGAGGGGUAGAAUUCCACGUGUAGCGGUGAAAUGCGUAGAGAUGUGGAGGAAUACCGAAGGCGAAGGCAGCCCCUUGGGAAUGUACUGACGCUCAUGUGCGAAAGCGUGGGGAGCAAACAGGAUUAGAUACCCUGGUAGUCCACGCUGUAAACGCUGUCGAUUUGGGGGUUGGGGUUUAACUCUGGCGCCCGUAGCUNACGUGAUAAAUCGACCGCCUGGGGAGUACGGCCGCNGGUUA
This 546-nucleotide ribosomal RNA is filed under the name uncultured bacterium. Its description in RNAcentral is "bacterial SSU rRNA". It matches the Rfam family "Bacterial small subunit ribosomal RNA", at positions 355 to 896 of the family's 1533-position model. The record is from RNAcentral.